AGAAUCUUCCAUUUUUUCCAAUUCAUAGAAAGAACAAUCAGCAUUUUUCCAUUUUUUUAAUCAACAGCUUUACACAUAUACACACCAGAUCAUGCCAUAAAGGAGGAGGGCACUCCAUUUUCAUAAAUACAGAAAAUAAUGCCCAAUUACACACACCAGAUAAUGAAAUUGGAGAGAUUAACUGAAGCACCACCGUACCAUCACUCUAAAUACACAAAUCCACACACAGACACACAUCUCAACGAAAAAAGCUCACACUCACAUUCACUCACCCUUACCGAAAUACGUACACACAUGGAUGGGGUAGAUAAAGCUUAAAUCAAGAAAAUAGAAGAGACCAAUUGAGAGAGAAAAUUGAGAAAUAAAGAAGAUCGAGAGAUACUGAGCUCAAGAGGGUCAAAACAGUGAGAAAAAGGCAAAAAAAUGACUGAAAACCGGUGAUUUUCAAUUGGAAUAGUAAACCAGUGAAAAAUCUGGCCGCUGUCGAGAUUUAUCAGCGGAGCUGUCGUCGGAGCCAGUUUUCCUCAUAUCGAUUUAGUCGACCAGCCUAAAAUCCCCAAAAUCCCUCUGUUGUACUUGAUUUCUGGGUAUAUCCUGUCAGAAAUGCCAAGAUUCACCGGAAUUCGAUCUGCGGCGAUAAUUCUCGCCGCAGUCUGAGCUCAACGGAGCUUUGUCCAUACGUAUUUUUUUGAUUUUCAUGAAGAUUCGAGUUUCGAGUGUUAAUUACUCUUGGGUAGACUGUUCGUGCCAUAUUUCAUGUUUUCUUGUUGAAGUUCGUUGAUUGAGUUCUACUCGAAAUAUUCGGACGCGGACUCUAUCGGGUUUAAUCAGAGUAACAUAUCAAUUUUGAAAGCGCCAUUGAGGUAAUGCCCCAAAGUAUUUUGUUCCUAAAAGACGUUCGUGAUGAAGGCACGAGGCAUCGAGUGGAUCUUAGUCUAGAACUAGUUUAGAAUAUGAUUUAUAUCUUUCACAUUUUACUAUUUUGGUCUGUAUAACUGGACUGGAGAGUAUUAUUUUUGUUUUGAA
Long non-coding RNA from Capsicum annuum, 1026 nucleotides. RefSeq lists it as uncharacterized. The record is from RefSeq and is a predicted model, not a curated record. The transcript is spliced from 2 exons. Lineage: Eukaryota; Viridiplantae; Streptophyta; Magnoliopsida; Solanales; Solanaceae.